CCUACGGGUGGCAGCAGUGAGGGAUAUUGGUCAAUGGGCGUAAGCCUGAACCAGCCAAGUCGCGUGAGGGAUGAAGGUUCUAUGGACCGUAAACCUCUUUUGUAAGGGAAUAAAGUGCGGGACGUGUCCCGUUUUGUAUGUACCUUAUGAAUAAGGAUCGGCUAACUCCGUGACAGCAGCCGCGGUAAUACGGAGGAUCCGAGCGUUAUCCGGAUUUAUUGGGGUUAAAGGGUGCGCAGGCGGCCUUUGAAGUCAGCAGUGAAAGCCCGUGGCCCAACCAUAGAACUGCCGUUGAAACUGGGAGGCUUGAGUGUGUUUGAGGCAGGCGGAAUGCGUGGUGUAGCGGUGAAAUGCUUAGAUAUCACGCAGAACCCCGAUUGCGAAGGCAGCCUGC
This 394-nucleotide ribosomal RNA is filed under the name uncultured bacterium. RNAcentral's name for it is "partial 16S ribosomal RNA". It matches the Rfam family "Bacterial small subunit ribosomal RNA", at positions 338 to 729 of the family's 1533-position model. The record is from RNAcentral.